GGGCCUUUAGCUCAGUUGGUUAGAGCAACCGGCUCAUAACCGGUUAGUCCGGGGUUCGAGUCCCUGAAGGCCCACCA
RNAcentral lists this transfer RNA (77 nucleotides) under Bacillota bacterium. RNAcentral's name for it is "tRNA-Ile". It matches the Rfam family "tRNA". Rfam says of the family: Transfer RNA (tRNA) molecules are approximately 80 nucleotides in length. RNAcentral also lists the same sequence under 4 other names. The record is from RNAcentral. Lineage: Bacteria; Bacillati; Bacillota.